RNAcentral lists this ribosomal RNA (506 nucleotides) under uncultured bacterium. RNAcentral's name for it is "partial 16S ribosomal RNA". It matches the Rfam family "Bacterial small subunit ribosomal RNA", at positions 30 to 523 of the family's 1533-position model. The record is from RNAcentral.
AUUGAACGCUGGCGGCAUGCCUUACACAUGCAAGUCGAACGGCAGCAUGGAAGAGCUUGCUCUUCUGAUGGCGAGUGGCGAACGGGUGAGUAAAGCAUCGGAACGUACCGUGUAAUGGGGGAUAACGUAGCGAAAGUUACGCUAAUACCGCAUACGACCUGAGGGUGAAAGCAGGGGAUCGCAAGACCUUGCGUUAUACGAGCGGCCGAUGUCAGAUUAGCUAGUUGGUAGGGUAAAGGCCUACCAAGGCGACGAUCUGUAGCGGGUCUGAGAGGAUGAUCCGCCACACUGGGACUGAGACACGGCCCAGACUCCUACGGGAGGCAGCAGUGGGGAAUUUUGGACAAUGGGGGCAACCCUGAUCCAGCCAUGCCGCGUGAGUGAAGAAGGCCUUCGGGUUGUAAAGCUCUUUCGGCCGGGAAGAAAUCGCACAGGCUAAUACUCUGUGUGGAUGACGGUACCGGCAUAAGAAGCACCGGCUAACUACGUGCCAGCCGCCGCAGUAA